RNAcentral lists this ribosomal RNA (254 nucleotides) under uncultured bacterium. Its description in RNAcentral is "partial 16S ribosomal RNA". It matches the Rfam family "Bacterial small subunit ribosomal RNA", at positions 113 to 354 of the family's 1533-position model. The record is from RNAcentral.
CGACGUGGAGAACCUGCCGUAUACUGGGGGAUAACACUUAGAAAUAGGUGCUAAUACCGCAUAAGCGCACAGCUUCGCAUGAAGCAGUGUGGAAAACAAAAAGCUAAAGCUUUUGGUGGUAUACGAUGGAUCCGCGUCUGAUUAGCUGUUGGCGGGGUAAAGGCCCACCAAGGCGACGAUCAGUAGCCGGCCUGAGAGGGUGAACGGCCACAUUGGGACUGAGACACGGCCCAAACUCCUACGGGAGGCAGCAG